Molecule: ribosomal RNA, 438 nt
Filed under: uncultured bacterium
Lineage: Bacteria
Description: bacterial SSU rRNA
Rfam family: Bacterial small subunit ribosomal RNA
Source: RNAcentral
UGGCGGACGGGUGAGUAACACGUGAGCAACCUGCCCUUGACUCUGGGAUAACAGUUGGAAACAGCUGCUAAUACCGGAUACGACCUUCGAUGACAUCAUCUGGAGGUGGAAAGCGCUUUAGCGGUCAAGGAUGGGCUCGCGGCCUAUCAGCUAGUUGGUGAGGUAACGGCCUACCAAGGCAAAGAUGGUUAGCUGGUCUGAGAGGACGGCCAGCCACACUGGAACUGCGACACGGUCCAGACUCCUACGGGAGGCAGCAGUGGGGAAUCUUGCGCAAUGGGCGAAAGCCUGACGCAGCAACGCCGCGUGGGUGAUGAAGGCCUUCGGGUCGUAAAGCCCUGUCGGGAGGAACGAAUGACUCUAGGGUGAACAAUCCUAGGGAGUGACGGUACCUCCAAAGGAAGCACCGGCUAACUCCGUGCCAGCAGCCGCGGUAAU